This 440-nucleotide ribosomal RNA is filed under the name uncultured bacterium. RNAcentral's name for it is "partial 16S ribosomal RNA". It matches the Rfam family "Bacterial small subunit ribosomal RNA", at positions 339 to 795 of the family's 1533-position model. The record is from RNAcentral.
CUACGGGUUGCACCAGUGAGGAAUAUUGCACAAUGGGGGGAACCCUGAUGCAGCAACGCCGCGUGGAGGAUGACGCAUUACGGUGUGUAAACUCCUUUUAUAUGUCAAGAAAAUGACGGUAGCAUAUGAAUAAGCACCGGCUAACUCCGUGCCAGCAGCCGCGGUAAUACGGCAGGGUGCAAGCGUUACUCGGAAUCACUGGGCGUAAAGGACGCGUAGGCGGGUUGGAAAGUCAGGUGUGAAAUCCUACAGCUUAACUGUAGAACUGCACUUGAAACUUCUAAUCUAGAGUAUGGGAGGGGGAGAUGGAAUUAGUGGUGUAGGGGUAAAAUCCGUAGAUAUCACUAGGAAUACCUAAAGCGAAGGCGAUCUCCUGGAACAUUACUGACGCUAAGGCGUGAAAGCGUGGGGAGCAAACAGGAUUAGAUACCCUUGUAGUC